Molecule: non-coding RNA, 82 nt
Organism: Podarcis lilfordi (Lilford's wall lizard)
Lineage: Eukaryota; Metazoa; Chordata; Lepidosauria; Squamata; Lacertidae
Source: the annotation of a GenBank genome assembly
ACCUAUAUUGCAGUUUUGCAUGUUUCUAUAUUGCAUGAGAUUCUUAAUCUCAGGGUUGUGGGUUCAAGUCCCAUGUUGGGCA